UGUGUAGGUGGAUUCUUAAGUGCCUUGUGAAAUCCCACGGCUCAACCGUGGAACUGCUUGGCAUACUGGGAGUCUUGAGCCAUCUAGGGGCAACUGGAACAGACGGUGGAGCGGUGAAAUGCGUAGAUAUCGUCUGGAACGCCAAUGGUGAAGACAGGUUGCUGGGGAUGUGCUGACACUGAGACACGAAAGCCAGGGGAGCAAACGGGAUUAGAUACCCCGGUAGUCCUGGCCCUAAACGAUGUCCACUAGAUCGUAGAACUUUUGACGGUUUUAUGGUCGAAGUAAAAUGUUAAGUGGACCGCCUGGGAAGUACGGUCGCAAGGCUAAA
This 331-nucleotide ribosomal RNA is filed under the name uncultured bacterium. Its description in RNAcentral is "bacterial SSU rRNA". It matches the Rfam family "Bacterial small subunit ribosomal RNA", at positions 568 to 898 of the family's 1533-position model. The record is from RNAcentral.